This 839-nucleotide ribosomal RNA is filed under the name Sordariomycetes sp. Its description in RNAcentral is "eukaryotic LSU rRNA". The stretch from base 316 to 839 matches the Rfam family "Eukaryotic large subunit ribosomal RNA", at positions 1 to 535 of the family's 3401-position model. The record is from RNAcentral. Lineage: Eukaryota; Fungi; Ascomycota; Sordariomycetes.
AUCUCUUGGUUCUGGCAUCUAUGAAGAACGCAGCGAAAUGCGAUAAGUAAUGUGAAUUGCAGAAUUCAGUGAAUCAUCGAAUCUUUGAACGCACAUUGCGCCCAUUAGUACUCUAGUGGGCAUGCCUGUUCGAGCGUCAUUACGACCCUUAAGCCUAGCUUAGUAUUGGGAACCUACGUGCGGCAGCUACCCUGUAGCUACCCUGUAGCUCCUUAAAGACAACGGCGGAGACGUGGAGUCCUCUGAGCUUAGUAACUUUUCUAGCUUCUGAAGGCGCCGCGGCCCCUGCCGUAAAACCCCCAACUCUUUAGUGGUUGACCUCGGAUCAGGUAGGAAUACCCGCUGAACUUAAGCAUAUCAAUAAGCGGAGGAAAAGAAACCAACAGGGAUUGCCUUAGUAACGGCGAGUGAAGCGGCAACAGCUCAAAUUUGAAAGCUGGCCUUCGGGUCCGCGUUGUAAUUUGUAGAGGAUGCUUUUGGUUAGGUGCCUUACGAGUUCCCUGGAACGGGACGCCUUAGAGGGUGAGAGCCCCGUACGUUUGGUUACCGAGCCUCUGUAAAGCUCCUUCGACGAGUCGAGUAGUUUGGGAAUGCUGCUCUAAAUGGGAGGUAAAUUUCUUCUAAAGCUAAAUACCGGCCAGAGACCGAUAGCGCACAAGUAGAGUGAUCGAAAGAUGAAAAGCACUUUGAAAAGAGGGUUAAAUAGCACGUGAAAUUGUUGAAAGGGAAGCGUUUAUGACCAGACUUUUUCCUGGCGGAUCAUCCGGUGUUCUCACCGGUGCACUUCGCCAGGUUUAGGCCAGCAUCGGUUUUCGCCGGGGGAUAAAAGCAGUGGUAAU